UCUCAGGAAAAGAAUUUUAGUCCAACCUAAAGCUGCCUCAUUAUACUUAAAUAUAAAUUCAACUUUAGAGCAACUCAAAUAAGGUACAGCCUAUUUGAAUCAGGAAACAACCUUCACCAAUGGGUAAACAAUAUCUGCAUUACAACUAAGUAGGCCUAAAAGCAGCCACCUUUUAAAAAGCGUUAAAACUUAAAUUCACGCAACAACAAAUAACCUACCCCAUACUGACCCCUUCAAUUGUACUGAGUAUUUCUAUAUUAUUAUAGAACCUUUUAUGUUAAAACUAGUAACAAGAAGUAACACUUCUCUUUAAUGUAAACGUAAGUCAGUAAGGACCCACCACUGACUAUUAACAAUUCACAAUAGCAACUUCACUAGAAAAUCCUAUUAUGUAUACUUUAUUGUUAACCUAACACAAGAACAUCUCAAGACAGAUUGAAAGAAUAAAGAAGGAACUCGGCAAACCACUAACCCCGCCUGUUUACCAAAAACAUCGCCUCUUGUAAUUAUAAGAGGUCCAGCCUGCCCAGUGACUUUUGUUUAACGGCCGCGGUAUCCUAACCGUGCGAAGGUAGCGUAAUCACUUGUUUUUUAAAUAAAGACUAGUAUGAAUGGCAUCACGAGGGUUAUACUGUCUCCUUUUUCCAAUCAGUGAAACUAAUCUCCCCGUGAAGAAGCGGGGAUAAUGCCAUAAGACGAGAAGACCCUAUGGAGCUUUAAACUUAACAGCACUUGCAACUACUAAAAAUACCCCUAAACGCAUCUUGCUGAAAGUUUUAGGUUGGGGUGACCGCGGAGAAAAACUAAUCCUCCCCAUUGUAACAGAUUAUUCUUAAGUGAAAAGCCACAACUUGAUACAUCAACACUAUUGACAUCCAUUGACCCAGUAUUCUGAUCAACGAACUAAGUUACCCUAGGGAUAACAGCGCUAUCCAUUUUGAGAGUUCCUAUCGACAAAUGGGCUUACGACCUCGAUGUUGGAUCAGGGUAUCCUAGUGGUGUAGCCGCUACUAAUGGUUCGUUUGUUCAACGAUUAAAACCCC
This 1043-nucleotide ribosomal RNA is filed under the name Phrynopus auriculatus. Its description in RNAcentral is "partial 16S ribosomal RNA". It matches the Rfam family "Bacterial large subunit ribosomal RNA", at positions 855 to 2597 of the family's 2925-position model. Lineage: Eukaryota; Metazoa; Chordata; Amphibia; Anura; Strabomantidae. The record is from RNAcentral.